Molecule: non-coding RNA, 151 nt
Filed under: Burkholderia ubonensis
Lineage: Bacteria; Pseudomonadati; Pseudomonadota; Betaproteobacteria; Burkholderiales; Burkholderiaceae
Description: FMN sequence
Rfam family: FMN riboswitch aptamer (RFN element)
About the family: The RFN element is a highly conserved domain that is found frequently in the 5'-untranslated regions of prokaryotic mRNAs that encode for flavin mononucleotide (FMN) biosynthesis and transport proteins. This element is a metabolite-dependent riboswitch that directly binds FMN in the absence of proteins. In Bacillus subtilis, the riboswitch most likely controls gene expression by causing premature transcription termination within the 5' untranslated region of the ribDEAHT operon and precluding access to the ribosome-binding site of ypaA mRNA.
Source: RNAcentral
GUGCGUCUUCAGGGCGGGGUGGAAUUCCCCACCGGCGGUAGGCUGGCGUCAAGCCGGCGAGCCCGCGAGCGCCCGCGCGUCAUGCGCGGGGUCAGCAGAUCUGGUCGAAUGCCAGAGCCGACGGUCACAGUCCGGAUGAGAGAAGAUGUGC